RNAcentral lists this long non-coding RNA (362 nucleotides) under Sus scrofa (pig). Its description in RNAcentral is "lncRNA (ENSSSCG00050000288.1)". The record is from RNAcentral. Lineage: Eukaryota; Metazoa; Chordata; Mammalia; Artiodactyla; Suidae.
GAAGCCAGCAAGACAGUAUGGGUGCUUCUAAUUUGUGGUCUCCAGAGAGGAAAUUUUGUCUAAGAAUUUUUUUUUUGAGAGAUCAGUUGGACAAGAACAUCCCUUCAAGUUACUAGAAGAAGAAUGGACCUUUUUGAUGUCACUGUUAUUCCAGAAAGAAUCUCUGGCAUGUUCCCCUCCAGCUAAUGUCAGAAAGAAAAGGGGGCCCUUGCAAAAAUCACUCCAGCAAAAAAAAGUUAGAGACCAAGACAUGACUGCAAGCACAAAGGUGGACAUAUGCCCAAGACUUGCCAAUCAUUUUAUCCCCUGAACCUAGACAUUAUGGUCAUCUGGUCAUAAAAUGUGUUCAAAGAUAAAUGCCU